UACAGGUUAGACAGAAACACCUUUGGCGGCGAUUACAGCAGUGAGUCUCUCUGAGUAAGUCUCUAAGAGCUUCGCACACCUGAAUUGUGCACCAUUUAUCAAGGUGUUGGGAAUCAUGGCUAGACAGCCAUAGAUUUUCAAGCAAAACUAACUCGACCACUCAUGAACAUUCACUGUCUUCUUGGUAAGCAUCUACGGUGUAGAUUUGGCCUUGUGUUUCAGGUUAUUGUCCUGCUGAAAUGUGAAUUCAUCUCCCAGUGUCUGGUGGAAAGCAGACUGAACCAGGUUUUCAUCUAGAAUUUUUCCUGUGCUUAGCUUUAUUCCAUUUCUUUUCACCCUGAAAAACUCCUCAGUAUUUGCCGAUGACAAGCAUACCCAUACCAUGAUGCAGCCGCCACCAUGCUGGAAAAAUAAGGAGGCAGUUCGUUACUCAGUGACGUAUUGAAUCUGCCCCAAACAUAAGGUUUCCAGUUUUCAUGUCACCUGUCCAAGUACAGUGAAAUACCUUUCUUGCAAGUUCCAAAACCAACAAUGCAGUAAUCAAUAUCAAUGUAGCAUUAAAGAUAACAAGGUAGGGAACUGGAGUGAUGGAGGUAGAUAUGUAUAGGGGGAAGGGGACAGGGAUACUGGAGUGAUGGAGGUAGAUAUGUAUAGGGGACAGGGAUACUGGAGUGAUGGAGGUAGAUAUGUAUAGGGGACAGGGAUACUGGAGUGAUGGAGGUAGAUAUGUAUAGGGGACAGGGAUACUGGAGUGAUGGAGGUAGAUAUGUAUAGGGGGAAGGAGACAGGGAUACUGGAGUGAUGGAGGUAGAUAUGUAUAGGGGACAGGGGUACUGGAGUGAUGGAGGUAGAUAUGUAUAGGGGGAAGGAGACAGGGAUACUGGAGUGAUGGAGGUAGAUAUGUAUAGGAGACAGGGAUACUGGAGUGAUGGAGGUAGAUAUGUAUAGGGUUAAGGUGACUAGAGUGUGAGAGAGUGUACAUAGAGACAGUGCAAAAAUAAAAUACAAGGGUCAACUUAGAGAAUCCAUGCUGUUAGCUAUUUAGUCAGCUAUAUAGCAGUCUUAUGGCUUGGGGAUAGAAGUUGUUCAGAGGCUGUUCGGCUUUGCAUUUAGACCAAAAAGUGUAUUUCCUUUUCCAUUUUGUAUUUAAAUUACUUUAGUGCUUUGUUGCGUGAUGCUAUCGCGUCUGCAUGGACCAACAUUCCUGUGGGAACAUUUCUGAUACCUUGUAGAAUGCCCCAGAGAAUUCAGGUUGUUCUGGAGGCAAAGGGAGUCCGACCCGGUACUAGAUGGGAGUACCUAAUAAACUGUCCGGUGAGUGUAUAAUCCACAGCAUAAUUAUUAACUUAAACCAUGCUUAAAGAGAUAUUCAAAUAUCUGAUUUGUUAUUGUUAUGCAGCUACCAAUCGCUGUCCUUCUUUAUGAGGCUUUCGUAAAGCUCCCUGGUCUUUGUAGUUUAACCUGUGCUUGAUAUUCUAAUACUUGACUGAGGGACUGAUGUUAUAUGUUUUGGGGGACCGAGGAAGUCAUUCAAAAAUCAUGUCAUCCCCUAUUAUUCCAUGUAAAUUAUUGUGUGAUUUGUUAAGGCACAUUUUACUCCUGAACUAAGUUACUCUUGACAUAACAAAGGGUCUGAAUACUUAUACAAUGAUUAUUUUAGUU
Molecule: long non-coding RNA, 1662 nt
Filed under: Salmo salar (Atlantic salmon)
Lineage: Eukaryota; Metazoa; Chordata; Actinopteri; Salmoniformes; Salmonidae
Description: lncRNA (ENSSSAG00000103462.1)
Source: RNAcentral